AUGACCUUCAUCAUCAUCUUCAUCUGGACUCUCACAGCGUUUGCUCAAGAGAGUAGAGGACAGAUCAGCGUCACUCAGAGUCCCUCAACAGCAGCUCAACCAGGAGAAACAGUGAAGAUCAGCUGCAAAACUAGCACUGAUGUGCGCAGAUAUAGUGAUGGAGAUGAAGAUUUAUACUGGUACUUACAGAAACCUGGAGAAGCUCCUAAACUCCUGAUUUAUUAUGUAAAAAAGCUUAAGUCAGGAACUCCAUCUAGAUUCAGUGGCAGUGGAUCUAACAGUAAUUUCACUCUGACCAUCAGUGGAGUCCAGACUGAAGAUGCUGGACAUUAUUACUGUCAGAGUGCACACAUCAUCAGUAGUAGCUGGGUGUUCACACAGUGA
Carassius auratus (goldfish) is the source of this 384-nucleotide non-coding RNA. NCBI's taxonomy places the organism in Eukaryota, Metazoa, Chordata, Actinopteri, Cypriniformes, Cyprinidae. The record is from the annotation of a RefSeq genome assembly.